Molecule: long non-coding RNA, 888 nt
Organism: Oryza sativa Japonica Group (Japanese rice)
Lineage: Eukaryota; Viridiplantae; Streptophyta; Magnoliopsida; Poales; Poaceae
Source: RefSeq, a predicted model, not a curated record
UUUCUGUCACCAAUGAUUCCUCACGUCCAUUUGCUCAUUUUCUCACUGCUUUAAUCAGAGCAGCCAUUUGCAGUCGAGAGCAUCAGCAGGCGCGGAUAAUGGCUUCAGCCGCUCUUCCUCAUCCCAGGCGUCUCGCCUGAUGGUCAUCGGCGUGGGGAACGAGACCAGCAGCCGCCCGUGUUUGAGAUCCGAACAGAAGAUUUCUCAAGUGUACAAAAAAGGAGAAGCCGGCAUGUAAGGUUUAGAUAUGGAAAGACAUCUUGCAAGAGUAUGCCGACGAGCUCCAGAACUACAGCAUGUCGAGGCAGUACAGCAUGAAUCUUUUUCCUUUUUUUACGUGGACAGAAGAUCUUAUUCGGUGUUGUUUAUGUUUUGACCCUCUCCCAACAUGCUUGUUUUUCACUUUUUUUUUUUUUUGCAAGACACUUCUGCGUGCAAGGUUUGGAUAUAGGAAGACAUUUUGCGAGACUAUGUCAACGAGCUGCUAAAGUACAACAUCGGAUGCCCCCAUAAUCCCUUCAGAGCAGUUAUCGAUUCUUUGAAGGUUGUGGAGGAGAAAAAUCGCCAGCUUGUUCUUCUUCAAGAUGAAAUCGAAAGAUGCCACCGUUUGCUUCAACAGAAAUUCGACGACACCGAAGUCCUGGUUGAGCCUCUCGCGUCAUGAGGGCUCGUUCGAGAAGGAUAUUCUCUAUGUUUAUUAUUGUUGUAGUCUCAUUUCUUGUAACCAAAAACCUUAUAUUUGGUUCCUAGUUUAUUGUAAUUAUUUGUUACUAAUAACUUCUUAGCGUCCAGUGUAGUAUCAUGGUAAUCGCCGUGUUACUAGGGGGCGACAAUCGUAUUGUGGCAGAUAUAAGCCAAGUUAAUUAAGGUGCAAAUUUGAUGUGUUAA